UUGUGGGAGAGUCCGGCCAGAGCACCCCUGUUUUCAAGCGCACGGCCGGCGCCGAAGGAGCAACCGCCCCGGAAACUCUCAGGCACCCGGACCGCAACGG
Molecule: non-coding RNA, 100 nt
Filed under: marine eukaryotic metagenome
Description: Glycine riboswitch
Rfam family: Glycine riboswitch aptamer
About the family: This family represents the bacterial glycine riboswitch. Glycine riboswitches usually consist of two metabolite-binding aptamers domains with similar structures in tandem.
Source: RNAcentral